Long non-coding RNA from Cataglyphis hispanica, 576 nucleotides. RefSeq lists it as uncharacterized. Lineage: Eukaryota; Metazoa; Arthropoda; Insecta; Hymenoptera; Formicidae. The transcript is spliced from 3 exons. The record is from RefSeq and is a predicted model, not a curated record.
UCACGUUGGCUUCACAUGCGCGGUUGUCUGGAAAAGGGAUAAAAAGGAUACGAAUCCUUCGCUUCGGAACACACAGGCCGAACUUUACACAGGUAGGCGAGCGUGAAUCAUACCUUGUAGCAACGGAUACGGACGGAAUGUAACGUCGAACCAACUUGGGCUCUCUCUGGUGUGUCUGCUGACCCACGGCGGGCAAGAUACAUACACACACACACAUACAUCUCAUUUACUUAAAGUUUCUAUCUAAUCGAGCGAAAUAAGAAACGGAAACGACUGAAAGGAAAAAAUGUCAGCUAUAAAAAAAAGAACGAAGGAAAAAAUACAUAAAUAUAUAUCCACGCUUAUUCAUGACAGUGAUUUUCAGGCAUUACGUAUUUGUUGGCGUAAGCGUGCAGAAUCCAUGUUUCUCGUGAUUGGAUGAAACAAGAUUGGCGAAAGUCGUCUCGGUAUCGAGAUUAAUACUAUAAUACUAUCGUAAAUAUUAUCGCUUUGUACGUGACCGCACAAGAACAAUCAAUACUGUAUUUAUGUGAAUUUAGUAAUCUACUCAUAAUAAACCAAAUUUUCGAUAAUACA